RNAcentral lists this ribosomal RNA (1379 nucleotides) under Gymnodinium sp. CCMP424. Its description in RNAcentral is "eukaryotic LSU rRNA". It matches the Rfam family "Eukaryotic large subunit ribosomal RNA", at positions 78 to 1363 of the family's 3401-position model. Lineage: Eukaryota; Dinophyceae; Gymnodiniales; Gymnodiniaceae. The record is from RNAcentral.
CCUCAGUAAUGGCGAAUGAACGCCGAGUUGUCUUUUCUUUAUAACCGUCUGUUACCCUGAAAUCAGAUUGCCUGGAAAUAGGGUUAAUUGGCGGGUCAAGCACCUUGCCUUCCGAGGUGAACAUCAACGAGGGUGAGAGUCCCGUUUGUCAUCUGCAGUCCCCCGUGCACGGUGUACUUUCUAAGAGUCACGUUCCUCGGGAUUGGAGCGCAAAGUGGGUGGUAAAUUUCAUCUAAAGCUAAAUAUAGGUUCGAGACCGAUAGCAAACAAGUACCAUGAGGGAAAGGUGAAAAGGACUUUGAAAAGAGAGUUAAAAGUGCCUGAAAUUGCUGAAAGGGAAGCGAAUGGAACCAGUGCUUCUUGGCAAGAUUGGUGCGUGCUAAUGUGAUUGCCUGCUUCCUCAGCGCAAGCGUGGCUGUGGGUUUUGAUCAGGACGCGCGUGUUGUUUCUUGCCUUGUGUGUCAUCGUCAGUUCUCAAUCGAGGAAAACGCCAGGGACAUGGUAGUUUGCCCAUGGGUGAGCGAAUGUGCUUGGUUGAACUCAUUUGUGAACUGGUUCUUGCGUGUCUGGUUGCAGUGCUCUGUGUCCCCAUGACUCUUUGGUGGGCUUGCCCUCCUUGGAUGGAGUGGGUGACCAGGACAUCUCCCUGACACAACGACGUUGACUAAAUGGUUCUAUUCGACCCGUCUUGAAACACGGACCAAGGAGUCUAACAUAUGUGCGAGUUCACGGGCGGGUAAACCUGCUUGCGCAAUGAAAGUGACUGCUGGGAUCUUUGCACCAGCAACCGACCAAUCAAUUGAGAGAGGUUUGAGUAUGAGCAUAUCUGUUAGGACCCGAAAGAUGGUGAACUAUGCGUGGUUAGGGCAAAGUCAGGGGAAACUCUGAUGGAGGCUCGUAGCGAUACUGACGUGCAAAUCGUUCGUCAAAACUGCGUAUAGGGGCGAAAGACUAAUCGAACCAUCUAGUAGCUGGUUCCCUCCGAAGUUUCCCUCAGGAUAGCUGGAGUUGAACAGUUUUAUCAGGUAAAGCGAAUGAUUAGAGGAAUCGGGGACGCGUCGUCCUCGACCUAUUCUCAAACUUUAAAUGGGUAAGAUCCAGUGGUUACUUGGGUGAACUUCUGGGAUAAAUGACAACUCUAAGUGGGCCAUUUUUGGUAAGCAGAACUGGCGAUGAGGGAUGAACCUAACGUUGGGUUAAGGUGCUUAACUGCUCGCUCAUCAGAUACCAUAAAGGGUGUUGGUUCAUUUUAACAGCAGGACGGUGGUCAUGGAAGUCGAAAUCCGCUAAGGAGUGUGUAACAACUCACCUGCCGAAUGGACUAGCCCCGAAAAUGGAUGGCGCUAAAGCGGGUGACCGAUACCCAACCAUUGUUGCAA